AUCCAGUUGACGAGUCCCAUAUAGGAUAAAACGCGCAUCCUGGAU
Non-coding RNA from Schistosoma rodhaini, 45 nucleotides. Lineage: Eukaryota; Metazoa; Platyhelminthes; Trematoda; Strigeidida; Schistosomatidae. The record is from Rfam.